Molecule: long non-coding RNA, 541 nt
Organism: Bos taurus (domestic cattle)
Lineage: Eukaryota; Metazoa; Chordata; Mammalia; Artiodactyla; Bovidae
Source: Ensembl
CACAUUCAGGUUGAGUAGGGAGGCAGGUUCACCUGCUGAGCUGAUUCCAGGGAUCGGGCAAGAAGUCAAUGGGCAGCAGGUGAGGUUGCCGCUGUGAUCUCCUUCCCGGUCGACUCUCCUCAGAAGAGAACAGGGCUGCUCCCCGUCCUUCAGCCCAGCUCUCCUGUUUCCUUUACACCUCAGUGGGACAGGAAAGACAGAGCCUGCCAGAACCAAGACUCAUCCCAGCCUGGGCCACAACCCCUGCUAAGGUGCCUAGGAGGCUGCACUCUCAGGAUGGAGACUUGAACUGGGGACCCCAUCACCAGGACCCCUGGCGACUAGGAGGAAUACUGAUCAAAUCGACAACAAGAAACCACAUUCCAUCUGACAGAAUGGCCAUCCUGACUUCUGCAAACCCUAAAUUGUGGAGAGCGCCGGGAGAUGAUUCAAGCCUCCUGCAAGUUCCAUGGGAAUGGAAACUGGCAACAACCCCUGAAAGAAUAGCCUCUACUGGCCAGAACAAAAAAAUUAAAGAGACCAAAGCCUAGGAUUUUAAUAC